RNAcentral lists this ribosomal RNA (497 nucleotides) under uncultured bacterium. Its description in RNAcentral is "partial 16S ribosomal RNA". It matches the Rfam family "Bacterial small subunit ribosomal RNA", at positions 28 to 507 of the family's 1533-position model. The record is from RNAcentral.
GAUGAACGCUGGCGGCGUGCCUAAUACAUGCAAGUCGAGCGAACAGAUAAGGCGCUUGCUCCUUUGACGUUAGCGGCGGACGGGUGAGUAACACGAGGGAAAUCUACCUAUCUGACUGGAAUAACUACGGGAAACCGGGGCAUAUGCCGGAUAACAUUUAGAACCGCAUGGUUCUAAAGUGAAAGAUGGUUUUGCUAUAACUUAUAGAUGGACCCGCGCCGUAUUAGCUAGUUGGUAAGGUAACGGCUUACCAAGGCAACGAUACGUAGCCGACCUGCGAGGGUGAUCGCCCACACUGGAACUGAGACACGGUCCAGACUCCUACGGGAGGCAGCAGUAGGGAAUCUUCCGCAAUGGGCGAAAGCCUGACGGAGCAACGCCGCGUGAGUGAUGAAGGUCUUCGGAUCGUAAAACUCUGUUAUUAGGGAAGAACAAAUGUGUAAGUAACUGUGCACGUCUUGACGGUACCUAAUCAGAAAGCCACGGCCAACUACGUG